GCAUGUGGGCGGGUGCUGAAGGCCAGCUGUGGGAGCCAGAGACCUCCCCUGGGAAAUGGUCCCUUGCUCCCGUUUAGUGUGCAGAGCUGGCACCCGCUCCAACCUGGUCCUUGUGGGUCUCGGCUGAUAGCACCCCGGCUGUCGUCUGAGUCUGUGAGGUGGAGCCAGAGUCAGGAAGGGGAUGUCCUGAAUGGGACACACCCCCUUACUGGAGACUCUUCUCCUGGUGAGGAGCAAUCCCUAACUCCACAUUCCAGGUGCACAGCUGGGGGCAGGAGGGGCUUCCCGAAAGCCAGGCACUUAGGGGGCAAAGACCCCGGGGGGUAAGUUUCUGCCUCCCACGCCAGCCCUCAGUGUGAACCAAGGGAUGCCAGGGCCAGGAGGCCAGGUGCAGGCCUCAGGGGUCCUCAGGGGGUCCACGGGAAGGGGCAGUUACUGUUCAAAGGCCUGUAGGACACAGUUGGAAAUUAUUUUUUACCCAACGUUAAGUGGCUGUGCAUAGUACAAAUUAGAUACUUUCUGUGAACAUGUUGCCAAUCUGAAAAAUAAUGCAUUCCAAAACCCAGAACUGGAACAUGGAAAUAGAGCAGAAGGUUUGAGGAUAAUCUAGAGGGAGGGGGAAGAACAUGACCUCAGGAGCCAGAGAGGGGCCAGUGUUUGUCAUUGGUCCCUUAAUGUGAGUCUGAGCUUCCUGGUAGCCACAGCAAGAAAUGAAAGCACAGUGGGAUUUUUAGUUUUGCCAAUAAAAGGACGUGUCAAGAUCCCCCACAGGACUGGUUUUCGUGGCCCUGAACAGAUUUAUCAGAUGUUUCUUUGUAAAAGAGGAAGUGAGGGGCUGAGAUUAUGGCUCAGUGGCAGAGCGCUUGCCUCACACGUGUGAGGCACUGGGUUUGAUCCUCAGCACCACAUUAAAAAAAAUAAAUAAAGGUAUUAUGUCCAUCUUCAACUAAAAAAAUAUUCAAAAAAAUUAAAAAAGAGGAAGCGAGGGCUGGGCCGUGACUCAGCAGGAGCGCACUUGCCUGGCACGUGUGAGGCACUGGGCUGAUUCUCAGCUCUGCGUAUAAAUAAAUAAAGGUCCCUCAACAACUAAAAAAAUAUUGAAAAAUAAAAAAUAAAUAAAAGAGGAAGCGAGUCCUUGCCUCUAAGGCCCUUUUCUUCUGUGGGUUCUCAAAGGAAGCUGAGGCCUGUUUAUAAAGCAGUUCCUCGAGGGGCGGAGCUAGCAGAGCAAAGGCCUCAGCCGUCCAGCACUGGGUCCUGCGUGGUCGAAGCCCCGGCCGUAGGCUCCAGGGGACGGGACCCCGCCUGCUUUGCUGGCCAGGACGUCCUCAGGCCAGUUCCAUGAUAGAAAGUACCAGGUGCCAGGUCCACCCCUGUUGGGUGAAGGCACAGGGAGGAGGCCCCUGGUCAUCUUCGUCCUCCUUCAGGAAGGACCGUGGGGGGAGGGGAGGGGCCACGGCCCCACUGAGAUACUGACCACUAGGGUGGGGGCUGAGGUGAGCCAGGACCUGGGUGGGGUCCCCAGGCAGGUGAGAGGGGCGUCCCAGGUGUCCCAGGCUGGCCAGGCCAGGAAGACGGGGCUCCUGCUGGACAGGAGCCUGCCUGCAGUCACAGGAGGGUGGUGGCCAGGCAGGUAGGGUGCCAGCUGUUGACCGAGCUGACACGCCGGCUGCAGGCGCCGGGGCUGAGGGCCCUGAGACCCUCUGUAAUACUGGCCAGGCAGCCCAGGGACUCGGGCUUUCUGGGCCAGGCCCCACCGUCCCCUCCACCCUGGUGCUGCAGCUCACUCAUGCCCCCCCACCCCGGGGUUGUCCCUCUCCUGCAGACCCCACGAGCCACACGCCUGGGUCCUCGAGUUAGGCCUCCGUGAGCCAUCCUCCUUCCCGCCCUUCCCGCCCUGACCCAGGUGUUCCCUGGUGGCCAGAGGGUAGGCAUGGGUCUUGGUUUUCUUGGAUGUUUCCCGGAGGCUGUGGCUGGUAGAGAGAAGAUCCGUGGUGGACAGAGUGGCCCAGAGCACAGCCUGGGCCCCGCGCUGUGGGUUCCCUACCACGCGCAGGGGGAGGGAGCAGGCAGUGGGCCCGGGGUCUGCCUGCUUCUGAUGGUGCCGUGCAGUGGGCAGCAUCUGUCCCUGGGUCCCUGUUUCUCGGUGCAUGGCCUCCCUCAAGGCCUGGCACCCACCUGGCUCACCACAGGCCCAGGCUCUGGGCUCUGACCCUUCCCUACCCUGUUUCUGUCCAGGCCGUGUCCUCAGGGCCCCUUGGCCAGUGGCCACUGGGCUGUGUUUGUCCUACUGUCCAUCAGCCCUAAUGUAGGCAAACAGACCAAGGGCAGGUGGGGGGGGGAGAUAAGGCCGGCGGAUGGGGCCAAAGGUGAACGCUUCACCUCAUUCACCUCGGGCUUAUUUACUGUCCCCAGCUUUCAUCUGCUGUCCCCGUGGCCACACAGACCAACCACGAGGGUGCUCUGAGGCUCUGGGACUCCAGGGACCUCAUGGCCUCAGCUGGGUUGCUGUGAACUGCGAACACGAAAAGACAAAACGGUGCUACCAAGAGGGACUUCAUUUUUUAAAAAAUAUACUGGGGACUGAACCCAAGGGUGCUGUGUCACUGCACUACACCCCCAGCCCUUUCUAGUUUUAAUUUAUAUUGAGACAAAUUCUCACAGAGUUGCCCAGGCUGGCCUCAGAUUUGCAAUCCUCCUGCCUCAGCCUCCAGAGUUGCUAGGAUUACAGAUGUGGCCACUGUGACCAGGGACCAACGCAGACCUUUCUCUCUGCCAUGCACCCUGAAGGCCAGGCACAGCUCUGGCCCUGAUGCCUGCCUGACACUUGCACUGGUCUUGUGACCAGUCAGAAUUGUCAACAUCUCCACUUUACAGCAGGGAAUCGAGGCUCAGAGCAGCGAGGUUUUGGAAUCCAGCUCUUUGGCUGUGUUGCCUUUGAAUCUAGGAGGAAUCAGCCGGCAGAGCUCUGGCAGGGUGGGUGACACUGGGGACAGUCCUCUGGGUGCUUCUCACACUGGCCGUGCGUAUCAAGGGAGGGGUGGCCCGGGCCUCAGCAUGGCCACACUGUGCUGUGCCUGCCAGGACAGGGGUGCAGAUGCUCUCUCCUGUCGUGGGGCUCCUGCCUCCUCCCUGCCCCCGAGCUUCCAUCCAAUACAGGAAAUAAAAUUCAAGACCCCAGAGGUGGAGGCCCUGCCUCCGGCGACUGGGCUGGGCCCUCCAUCUCAUUUCCCUUCAGCUCUUUGCACACACUGGUUUUAUGUCACCCUGAUCCCUACCCAGAGAAGCAGAUGCUGUGCCAGGCUGGGGCAUCUGCCCACCUGAGGGCCCACAGUGGCCCUUGGGGGCCGGGAGGUGCUACAGGGCUGUCUUCCCUUCCUGGAACUGCCUGGGUCAACUGCCGAGCUGGGGGCAGACUCAGGUCGUGGGCUGUGGAUCCUUCCCUGGAGUGAGCCCUAGUCAGCAUGGUGGACGCGGACACCUGGAAGGAGCUCUGAAGCACUGGGGGGCAAGGCAGAGUCUGUCCUGUGCUGUCCUGCGACUAUUCCUCAGGGCUGGGGACACCCCAGCCUGUUGUUAUGAAGGCGCUGGAGGCCUGUUGCCAUCAACCCUGGGCAAGCCCGCCCCUGUGCAGGUCAGACUGGGUACCAGCUCUCUACGCUCCGCAUCCCAGGGGCCUCAGUGGGGCUCACCCUGGGCCACGGACACCACGCUGCACCCAGCCUCUGCCCGUGACCCCACUCCUACAGAAGGCCCACCACCUGGGCACUCGGAGGCCAGCAAGUGCCCCAACCUGGCUGGCCCAGGAUGACCCUCAGGGAGCUCCCUGCUCCUGGAGCAUGUCUGUGGCCAACUUUUGUGGGGUCAGGGCUGACCAGGUGUGGAGGCCCCAGUGCGCAUGCACGUGUGCGCACACGCGCGUGCGUGUGUGUGGUGGAUGGGGCAGCCCUGCCCCGGGUCCACGCUUGGCUUUCUGCAUUUCUUUGGCUGCAGAUGAGGCCAGCUGGUGGUGCCAGGGAGUUAAUGUCAUGGUGACCCUCAAACAGGGUGUUGGUGGGCAGGGGCCCCUUCGGGACAGCUCCAGGUGUUUCCCCACGGAGGCCUGGUGGACACGGCCCUCACCCAGAGCAGGUGUCCGCUCCGGGAAGCGCCUGCUCUUCUCCCUCCAGGCUCCCCACCCACCCCGUACGUCUGGGCAUCACCACUGCACCCCAGUCCUGUGCCAGACCCACUUUAGGAAGACUGGCCAGGAAGGUUGGUGUGGCUGUCCCCAGAGCCACAGCAGGGCCUGGCAGAGUCUGCGUGUCCUGCGAUGUUGAGGGCUGAGCUGCCACUCACAGGGUCCUUCUCACUGGAAAGCAGGGCUGGCUCCUCGGGGCAGUUUCCCAAACCAGGUGGGAGGGUGAGCACUCGGGGGCAAGAUUUCUCCUUCCCUGAGCUGGAUGAAGGAAGGACUCCCCAUCUGCAUACAGGUGCGUGUGCACCCACACCCUCUGCCCUGCCGCACAGUCUGACGGGAAGCACAGAGGACGGGUUUGCAACCCUCAGGCUUCAGGGCCUGGGGUUUGUUGAAGGGGUUCCUGGGGUUCCUUCCUGUGGGUACUUAGAGAAACAUCCAUAGUUGGUGGCAUCUUUGGGGAGUCAAAGAGGACAGCCUUUGGGAAGUGGAGGGCCCAGCCUCAGCCAUCAGGGUGGAGGAGAGCCUGCACCCAGGAGGGGUUGCCCUAGUGUGGUCGGCAUGGGGUGCUCUUCCCAGGUGUGAGCGUCACGAUCCGCCUCACAGGACUGGCCACUGCUCUGCGGCCUCAGGCAGGGCUGCACUCACUCAGGAACGUCCCAGCUUCCAGCAGACAGGCCUUCCAAAAGGCCAGCCUCACGUCAGCCGUCUGCCUGGGCAGAGGUGCCCACUGGGCUUGGUCUGAGUGGAGAGGGAGAUGACAGGAGGGGAGUAGAGGCCCAGCCCACUCUGAGGGCAGCCCCCAGGAUGCCAUGGCUGUGUGGGGCACAGCCUUGCCCUCUCCCCUCUUGGGAGAGGCUGGCCUUUCCGGUCUCCUGACUGUGCUGGCCCCCAGUGACCCCUGGAGGUCUGGAUGAGGUUGCCCUGACUCUGGGUUUGCUCUCCGCCCUCUUCCAUCCCUCGUCCACUCUCUGGCCCACCGACUCCUUCGCUUGCUCAGUCUCUGCCUUUGGGUCGUGCAGUCUGUCCCCACACGGGCCUUGAGUGCACAGUCCCAGGCAGGGCACAGAGGGACCCAGCCGCUGGGACGGACUCCCCAAGGUGCUUGUCCCAGCCCCUUGGAAGUGGGCAGCUCUGUCCACAGGUGCAUCAGUGGCCCCUCGUCCUCGGCAUCUGCGCAGCUGCUAUCCCUGGUGUCUCACCAGAUGCCACUGCUUCCAGACAGCCCUCCCUGACCCCCCAGUCUGGACCAGGCCUGACCAAGUCCCUGCCACAUAGCAUCAAAGCUGCCCACGGACGGACCUGCCCCUCCUGGCUCACCACCAGACCAAGUCCUCAGGCACCAGAACCUGCUCACCUCCGUCUCCCCUGAGCCCAGCACCUGGGGGCCUCAGAUGCUCAGGGAUCACAUGAGUAGGGGUCCCGUGGCUUCAGCGUGAACCACCGGGGCUCAGGAUGCCGGGUGCUGGGAGGUGCUGGGCGUCCUGAGGCCUGUGGGCUGAGGAGGAGCCGGGAUGUUCAGAGGCACCCAGCGUCUCCCAGGCCCACUGAGGAGGGUGGGGGCGACUGGGUGUGUCCCUGGUUCUCACUGUGUCUGAGGGCGCUGCGCUGGUGCUCGGCAUGCAGGCCAGGGACGUGCACCCUGGGUCCAGACGGCAUCUCCAGGACAGGGGCAUCCCCAAAGCCAGGCCUCCUCUGCUGUUCUCCUGGGUGUCCUGUGCCCCGGGAAGGGCUGCCGAGCGAGGUGUCUCUCUGGAACAGUCUGGAGCCCAUGUCCUUGUCCUGCUGGGCUCUGUCUCCCUGCGUCCCUGUGCAAGAGUCCUCCAGGGCCUUGGUGUCCCCCUCUGUGAGGGAGGGUCCCUGAAGCUGCCUCUGCUUCCUUCAAGGACAGUUUUCCAGCGUGGAGCCUCCAACCCAGGCUGGGACCCUGUGCCCUGGGCUCAGAUCCGCCUUGGCUGCAUUCCCUUUGGGUGGCUCUGGGUGGGUGGCCGAGCCACCACCUUGCUGUGAGAGCAUCCCUGGGGGUUCCCAGGAUUCAGAAGGAGCCUGAGAAGCAUUAUCCACAGCCCAAGGGAAGGCUGGCCCCGGUGGGAGUGAGCACUCCGCUCCAGUGGUGACCCAGCAGAGCUGGGACGGUCUCCUCCGGCUGGUGGUGUCACAUUCAAGGAGGCCACAAAGGGCCCCAGCACCUGCAGUCUAUGAGCAGGCCCUCCCUGGCCACCCACUGCAGCCUGCCCCUGCCUCAGACUCGACCCUCUCGCGAUCCUGACCCCGGGUGGCUUGAGAGGCACAGCAACUUGGGUUUGAUGUUUUGAAGAAGUGGCUUUUUGUCAGAAGGCCCUCUGGGAUCCUCGGUCGGCCAAUGAAAUUAUGUCUGUUGAUUCAAGGAGGCUGGAAAACUUGGGCCGAUGGUUAUUGAGAUUUAUGGCUUCCCCUGAGCCCAAUCACAGGAAUCCUUCAACAGUCGGGCUAAGUGGUGCUGAGGACCAUGCCUGUCCUCUCCUGUCCCCUCCUUCGUCCCCUCCUCCCUGUCCCUCUCCCUCUUCCUCUGACUCUGCCGCCGUCUCUUUCUGCCUGCCUCUCUGUGUCCCUCCCUCUCCUCCCUGCCCCUCUCUCCCUCUCCCCGUCUCUGUCUCUCUCCCUGCCUGUCUCUGUCUCUCUGUCCCCACUCCCCUUGCUGAUCUGGCUGUGGGGACGCAGCCCCACAGGCUCCACUGCUCCCCUAGAGAGCUGGGUGGGGGCCAGGGCAGGCUUCCCCUGCUGUGGGCUUGGACCAGGGGGAGGCUGGAGCGGGGAGCCGGGAGCUGGUGUCCAGCAGGCAGGGCUCUGGCUCCCCUGCCGGGCGCCCACUGUCUCUGAGCUCCUCUGAGCCUCCAGGGCUGGGGACUGGAGGACAAGCAUCAGUACUGUGCUGUAUUCAGCAGGUGCUCAAAAUAUGCCCACCCAGUUGUCUUGUUGGCUGAAGAUCUGCUCUGUGGAGGCAGAAGUAGGAAGCGCUCCCUACCCCUACCCGCUGCCCUAGUGAGAGGGAGGGCCAGGCCGGCUUGGAGGCAGGAGAGGCUCCUAUCCAGGCCAGGCUGACCCUGGUGCCGGAAUCCCCCAUGGCCCCCAUACGGCUGCCUGUCCUUGUACCCUUCUCCCUGUUGUUGCCCAGCUGUGUCCCCAACCCAGCCCCCAGAGUGGACAAAGACCCUGUGUCCCCAACCCAGCCCCCGGAGUGGACAGAGACCCUGUUGGUCAUGCCCCCAGCUUGGGGGAGGACAUGUGAUUGGGGUCACUGCCGACCCAGGGUGGGCAGGGCAGCCCCCUCCCCUGGCCAGCUGCGUUAGUUCUGUGCCUCUUGGAUUCAGGUGGAGGUGCAGGCGGACUGGGGUGGGCUGGGGCUGGGGGCCACCCAGACCCCAGGGGGUAGAGAUGUAAUGACCCAGCGCUGGACUGCCCGUGGCCCAGACCUGGCCUGGGGUUCCUGCACAGGGAGUCUAGCUAGGGCAGGGCUGGGACAGCUCAGAAGACAUGCUGACCCCUUCCUUUCUCCCCAGGUGUGGACAAUCUGGACACAGGCGAGGAGAUGGGCAGGUCAUCCUCCAGACCAGGCAGCCCCUUCACUGGUACCGGCCCACGGCCUGGCAUGUGUGCCAGUUGUCCUGGGCAGGGGUGGCAGCUUGGCCUGUGGCCUGCCUGUCCCCGGCGGUGCUCCCGAUGGCUCUGCUGGGGGCAGUUGUGUCCUGGACCUGGACAGGGUCUGGUGGCAGGCCAGGGGGUGCCAGGUGCGUGGUCUGACACCCCCUGCCUCCGGGACUUGUUCUCCUGCUCUUCUGGGCAUGAAGGGGCCCAUGAGGAAGGAGUGAGGCCUCCCCAGGACCCCCACGGAGCCCCGCCCACCCUGGCAUCAAGGUGUGGGGCCUGGCAGCAGGGGGGUGUGGGCCUGAGAGGGGCAGGGAGGUCCAGGGAUGGGUGGUCUCCGUUUCCUGAAGCAGGAGUCAGGGCCCAGUCCUGGCCUAGCCUUGGGUGUUCGCGUCCUGGCUGGGGAGCCGGGCAGGACCCGAUGCUGCCCGCCCCUGAGGCUGUGGGCAGGCUCUGGGCAGAAGGGGCCAAAUGCCCUGGCACUGGGAAGCUGAGUCCUUGAGGGCGUGGGACGUCCUCCUGUGACGAUGGUCCCUCCGAUUCCUGCUUGCCUAAAUGCCAGCUGACCUCGGCAUUCACGGCCUCGUCAGCCUGGGGGCACAGCCACACAUGGACCUCGGAGAUGCACUGGCUGCGUGGAGAAAGGUUCUGAGGGCUGGUGCAGAAGCCUCGGUGGGAUCAGUGAGGGGCACAGCAGGGGCUGCAGAGGGACAAUGCCCUGGAAGAGGACAUGGAAGGGUGGACGGCCCCCAGGGGUCACUGCCCCACUGCAGAGUGGCACGGCUGUGAGAGACAAGAGCACCAUUUUCAGGGCCUCGUGGUGAAGGCAGCUGGCGGAGAAGCAGGAGGCCGCCAGCCACCCUCCUGGCAGGAAGCACACCGUUCAGCUGGGAGCCAGCGGGAUGCCUCCCGGAAGUCCGCGCCACCUGGGGGCCCGGCUUUGGCCUCCUUCUGUGGGCGAGUGUCCAGGCAGCCAGGGGCUGCUCCUUCUGGUCCAGGACGUGUGUCCAGCCCCGAGCCUAUGGCUGUGCGUCCACACAGCUGCUGUGACUUGGGCCAGCACCUCCGCUCCAUAGAGGAGGACGCCGAGGCCCAGGGCACUCUGUGCAGCCAGGCAUGGAGCUUCCUGGGCGAUCUGGAGACAGGCCACACGGAGGCCCCUGCUCACCCUCCAACACCCUUACCUGCAGAACUUAGCUGAAGGCCAUGGGAUGAGUGGACGGAUGAGGAGUGGACAAGAUGAUGAGUGGACAAAUGGACAGGUGGACUGAUGGGUGGGUGGCUGCCUGGCGGGGUACAUUAGGACAUGUCAUGAAGGCCUCAGAAGGUGUGACUGACACUCUGGAGGGAUACAUGAAGUGGUCUCUGCGGGGACAGGGAGCAGCCAGGCCCUCACUGGCAGGGCCUCUCCUGCCCUGUGGCAGACAGGACUAAUCACCAGGGCCAGCUCUCCAUGGAGCGUGGCCCUUGGGCCUCCCCAGGCAGCCAAGAGCACUGGCUCUCGGGGCACCAGGCCCUUGCUUGCCGCCCAGCGUUAGGCUGUUAUUGGGAGCUCAGUUGGAGCAGAACUGCCUGGGGCAGGAAGGAGAGGCCCUGGGGCCAGGCCUGUUCUGUGGCGGCCUCCUCACCCACCAGCCUGCUUCACAUGCAGGGCAGGCUCUAAAGGCCUGGGGGUUGGUGUUGCACCCCGAGUGCUCCAGGUUACCUGCAGAGGCACAGCUCCGGGGCCUCCUGCCGGGGCUCUGGGCACCUGCUGAGGGCUCCAGUCCCUGCGUUUGUGCUGCUGGGUCCAGGGGCCUGGACACCUAGUUUCUGUAGGCAGGCGCAAGGCUCUGCAGCACAGCUGGGUGGUAUGGCCGGUAGCGGUUGGGUGCUGUUCUUUGCACAGGAGGGGCCCACUCCUGGAGGGGGGAGCUGGCCACAGUCGUGCAGCCCAGAAGCCCCCCCGCCCCUGUGUCCCUGGCCUUCCAGCCUGGGUGGUGUGUCCCACCACAGGAGCCGUAGCCUCAGCUCCACCAGCCUCACCUGCCUGCGUGACCCUCUGUGUCCCUGGGAAGGGAACCUCACAGCAGCUCCUGGGGGGGUCGCCAGAUGCUCACUGGUCUGGCUUCACCAGCCCUUGAGCCGAACCCAGGGAGAAGAGUCUUAAACUCUGAAGUCCACCAACUGAGAACCACUGGAGAUUCCACCCCACCAAGUUUUAAUUUUGUUCCUUUUAUUUAUUGUAGAGAAUUUUUAUGUUUAUUGAGAAAUUGCAUCAUAAUCCCUUGAGUCAAAAUGUGGGUUGUUUUUCAUUAUUUCCUCAAUGGUGUGACUUGGACACAGUGUCCAUUUCCUGUCCCUAAUGUGCGUCCAUCACUUUUCCCAGCAGCGAAGCUUGUGCAGACCUCGAUCAGACAGGUGCAGCCUUUGGGGAGGUCGAGAGCCCAGCUCUGGGGUCCUUCCACUGCAGUCGAACCCCAGCUCUGGCGCUCAGAGCCGUGUGGCUUUGGGCACCCACUCUGGCCUUGUUUCCUUCUCCCAGUCCCCGGGUGUUGGGAGAAUCAGGUAGGAGGAAGGGCAAGCAGGUGACUUCCUUGGCCCUGCAGCUUGGAGGGAAGGCUGCAUUGCUGAAGAUGGGGUCUCAGAGGUGACCAGUCCACACCCGAGCUGUGCAGGCCCAGGAGAGGUAUGGGAGCUGCUGUCUAGGGGUCCUGCUGCCACUGACAGCCCCUGUGCCCUGCACCCUGUGGCCGGCAGGCCUGCCCAGGAUGAGCUCCGAGCUGCCUGGGUCCUCAGCCUGCCCAGCCACCCAGAGCUCGGGCUCCCACCCCGUGACAGUCGACAGACCCGUAUCUAGAAAACGUGGAAGCCACAGAAUGGGCGAGAGGUGUAAACAAAGUGACCUCCUCCCCAGGAGCCCUGCCCCCCUCAGGGUGGCCCCUCGGCCUCUCUAACACAGGCCCCAGGGAGGCAGGGAGACGGCCUCUGCCUCCUGGCUCGGGGCUCCCCCUCCUCAAGUGGCCCAGCGUUAGGAGGCUCACCUCAAAGACGGGGAGCUGAGGCCCCAGGAAGGUGGCACAGUGGCCCCGUGUGAGCCCAGGCUCUGCCCUCCGCCUCAGCCGUGCUGCGACAGAGCAGAUCCAUCUCUCCCGGGACCCUGGCGCCAGGUCCCGUGUUCCCCUCCCUGUGCACACUGGCCAACGGGCAGGGUCUCUGCUGGAGGCUCCACACGGCCCCCCCCUACGGGGCAGCAGGCUCCCAGCACAGCACGCAUCAGGGCCCGCCCUGCUCACCCCACUGCCCCUGGGCCUGCCUCCCCAGCUCGAUUAGCCGAUUAGCUGGCUGGCCGGAGGACAAGCUGUCUUCCAGUCAUGCACCUGGGAUCGAGGCCCUGGCUGCUGGAGCAGGGGCCAGCUCAGCGGGAGCUGGGGGACUCACCCCAGGGGAUUAAUGACACGGAGCCCUUCCUCACCCUGCCGGGAGGAAGCCACCAGCCGCCCCUCCCCUCUACUGGGUGGGGAGCCACAAAGGGGUCCCUCCUGCAGGACAGUGGGACUCCUAUGUCCUGGCCAAGGUGGCCCGAUGGAAAGGUUGCCUGCCUGCCCAGGGCUGCCCAAGCAAUCCUAGGAAAGGCAAACCAGCUGCCAGACCCCAGGAAAUUCUAGGGCUCCUUUCUCCAGCCAGGGCCAUUUUUGUCACAGGACAUGUUAACUGCUGGAAUUUGCUGACACCUGGCUUGGGUCCCUGGUGGACAGUAAGACCCUCGUGAUUCCAUGGCAACCUGGUCCUUGGGGCUCCCAGCCCUCUCUGGGCUCCCUGGGGCGGGGGCUGCUCUGGGGGUCCUUUGCCCCAUUGGAGCCGGGGUGGGGGGUAGGGCGUGGAGGAGCAUGGUCACCUGGCCUUGGGCUGAAGAUGCAGACGUGGGGCAGCAGCUCCCUGCCAGCUCCCCACCAUGGGGUUCAGGUUGGGCACCUCAUUCAGCCUCCUGCCAAGACUGCCCAGAGGGCCACGUGAGUCUGUCUCUUCAGUUGAUUUUCUGUUGGUGCAUCACAGUCAGGCACAGGGGUGGGAUUCACUAUGCCACCUUUGUAUGUGCAUGCAACGUAAUUUGAUCCUGAAAUACGAUGUUACUUAGGAUGCACCUGCCAGUCAAGUAUUGACAAGCCCCUCCUCCUCUCUGAGGUCUGGAGCCCACAGAGCCCCUGCUGUGCAUAGGACCCGGAGGUGACACAGGUGGACAGGGUAGGUGGGAGACAACCUGGGGCUGUGGGUCUCUGAGGUUUGUGCUCAACCUUGAGCAAGGGCAUGCCCUGCCCUAAACCCACCAUGUGGUGCCACAGCACGGGGUCUGGGCAGCUUCAGGGGGGCAGGCUGGAGCUGGGCUUGGCAGGCCGGGGGUCCCGAGGACCUGCAGGGAAGCCAGAGGGGUGCAAAGUCAGGGAGCCCAUAUUGGCCUCUGUGGCAAUCAGGAAGAAGAGCUUCUGGGACCCCAAACCUGUGCAGCUGUGGGGGGCUGGCCGGGGCGCCCUGGCCUCAGCCCCACAGCGGUGGCUGUCUCCAUCCAAGCACUUCUCCCACCGUGGGUGCCGUGGGUGCUGUCCCCCGCCUCUGCUCAGCAUCUGUGGGCUCAGACGGCAGCCCUCGCCCUGAGCCUCCGCCACAUCCAAAGUGGAAACAGAUGGGCUUGUUCAUGCCCCGGGAGGGCAGGCUGCUGCUGCCGCGGCACGUCCAGAUCCCCGCUUCUGGGGGGACGUACCAGUGACAAUAGUAUCAGGAAGGGGAGAUUUCCAUUCCAAACAAGUCGAAGCAGUUGGCACCCAGCGCGCCCUCGAGAAAACCAGCAGCUGGCGGGGAGCAGGUGCCAAUUUCCCAGCAGGCCACUGUGGCCUGGCUGGGGGCUGGCAGGGACCCGCCGUCUCUGCCACUCCCGUGGGGACUGAGGCAGUCUCUGGCUUGGGAUCUGGCACGUCAAGUUUGCUCCAUCUCCUGAACUGGCGGCCCCUGAAGACCAGCAAGUCCCUGGGCCACAAGUGGCUGGCAAGCACCUGGGUGGCACCCGGGCUGCUGGCUGCUCCUCCCCGGGCUGCGGAGCGCAGCUUCCCAAUGGCCAGACAGAGGUCUCCGGCAAUGGGCUGGAGGCUGUGGUUUGAAUCCCUGCCCAGGAGCUCCGCUGCCCACUGCCCGCUGCCCACUGCCCUUCUCCCAGCCCAGGCAUGGUGCCAUGGUCACUAGGAACAUGAAGAGUGGGGCAGGCUCCUCUCCUCCCUGACUGCAAACUCCCUGAAGGCUGCCUCUGUCUGGUCAUCGCUGUCCCUCCAGCCCAUGCUAGCGGGGCCUUGAUAGAAAUCAGCUGAGUGGACAAAUGACCCAACAAGGACCCCAAGCUCCCAGCUGAGGCGAAGGAGUUUAUUCCACCUGUCACGUGGAUGGCAAGCUCGGGGCAACCUCGGGAACCCUAGCCCUGUCUGGAAAUGGAGCUUCCGGAUGAUUCUCGGGGGAUAGUUUUCACAGACACCUGAUCCCCUAGGACCCGACCUUUGGAGGUGGAGGCGGGGUGGGGUGCCCUGGGCCAGGAGGGCUGGCCUCCAUCCUCCCAAGGUGACCGUCACCAGGGGAGAGGCAGGUCUGCUCCUUGGGCCUCAGUGUGCCCAGACCCGGGCAUUGACUCUGGGAGGGCGUCCAUGCCCAGCCUGAGGCUGCCCUGGGCCUUGGGUGGCCCUGGAAAUUUGCCACAGGACCUCACGCACACACUGAGGCUCCCUGCCCAGCUUCUGUCCCCAGCACAGGCCUAUGUCCCCUACCCACCUGCACUGCGCCAUCACCUUGGCUACUUUCUGAUGGGGACGAGGGAGACCUGUGGGGCGGGACCUCAUCUGCCUCCUGUGGGGACCUCUUUGUGGACACCAGUAGCGCCUAGACCCGCACCCCUCAAGACAUGAGCUCAUGGAACAGCCCAGGUGGCUGGCUAAGAACAUGCUAGAAAUCCCCAAUUCCCACAAAGAGCCAGCCAGGGACCAGCCUACCUGGUGGGGGUGGGGGGAGGUCAGCCCCUGGCCAGGACAGCGGCCUUCUGAGAAACAAGCCAGGCAGAAAUGGCAAGUGCCCCACCCUUUUCCACUCUGGCCAUGCCACACUGCCUGGUCCUGGUGUCCCCCAGCCAUGACGACCUCCACCUCCUCACAGGAGCCUGCCUCUAUGCCCGCCCUCCCUCCCCACCUGGCCUCUGAAGUGUCUUCCAGAAGUUCACCCAUGGCACUCCUCUAAACCCCUCUGUGGCUCCCCAGUGCCCUCAGAUAAGACCCAGCCCAGAUCCAAACUCCUGCUGAGCCCACCACAACUCUAGCCAUCAGUCAGACAGAAUCACUUCCUGCUCACCCUGGUCCUUACCCUGGUCAGGGUUGGCACAGCUGGUCACUGGGCCUGGGGCUGUGGCUCUGAUCUCUGACUGCCCCUAGCCUAGCAGAUCCUAACUCCCACACCCUGCCUUGGAGUGUGGACUCUGUGAGGGCCAGCCUACCUGUGGACCGUCCCCCAGGAAGGACACAUCCUCCUCAGGAGGGGGAAGCAUGGGAGGAGCAGCCCGGGGGAGGGGCUCCACCAGGUGCAGGUAGUGAAGCAGGUUGGGGUGUGGGCUGCCCACUGCCGCAGGCCUUGGUCUCCAUCUCUGGGGCCAAGUCCUCGGGGUGGGGUGACCAGGAGGGCCUAGCCCAAUGCUGGUGACCCGCCCAGUCAUGGUGAUGUAGUUCCAGUCCACCUGCUGGGCCUUUCCAGGGCCUGAGGCCUGGGAUGGAGACUGAGGUCAGACCAGCGGACGGUGAUCUCCUUCGCCUCUGAGAAGGGGCGGGAGGGAGACGUUUCGGUGCCUGCUCGCCUCCAGCGCCCGGCUUUCUGGGACUCCGAAACAGCUGUGCCGGCCGAGUCCGACCCCAGGGAAAGCCCACCUUGUGUCCAAACUUUCCAGCACACAGCUGGGCCAGGGAGGCCACUAUUCCUGCACCCUGAGUUGUGCCAGGGCCUGGUGAGGAGAAGGGACCCGCGUCGUCCUCGUGUGCGAGUGGGGGGUCAGUAAGGCUUGGCAUGGCUUCAUCGGCCUCGCGUCACUCGGCCUGCCCCCACUGCAUGUGGCUUCUCCCCGGGUCUGUCUUCACCUGCUGUCCUCAGAGGGCACUAGACACACUGGACCAGGAGCCCGUCUGACUCCACCAGGACCCGAGCUCACCAGGUGUAUCGGCACCCACCCUGCUUCCAGCUAGGCCAGUCUGAGGGCCCGGGGUCCGCACAGGGAAGUCCAUUGACCUCCCUGCCACUGGAGUCCACUGAAGCCACAUCAUGCUCUUGAUCUGGGAGCUAAACAACCUCUUCUCUUUAUAAAGUACUGGCCUCGGGUGUUUAGUAAUGGCAACAGAAAACAGGCUAAGAUGAGAGAUUGGCCCUGUCCAGCGUGGGAGGGGAUCACAGAGAGACUUGAACGUCAGGAGUGGGGGUCCCUGGAAGCCCCCUGUGCCUGCCUCCUGCAAGCAGGGACUCUGGUGUUUACCUUGACAACCGGACUCUCCCGGGAGCCCGAGUGCGGCUUCUCCAGCCCUCGAUGCUGCUGUUUUUAGUCCUUCCAAAUAAAUUGAUGAGGCACACCUAGUUCCGGUCACUACUGCGGACAGUAAGAAUAUGGGCAACCUAUUCACCCACAAAGCCCCAAGAAGUCGACAUCAGUAACCAAGUUGCCAAGAGCCAGGACGCAGCAGAAGUGGGACUCGGGGCGCAGGGGACCUGUGGUCGACCCACCACCCUCCGACCCCCCAGACCAGAGAGUCCCCAUAGGGAGACCACAGGUCCCGUGAAGAGGUGGAGAAGGACGCUGUGGGGCACUUCAUUCCAGGGAAGGUCGGGUUGCCACUAGCCUGCCCCCGGACCCUGACGGACCCUCAUCAAGAAUGUUCCGGAGCUGCAGACAACGGGAAGUGUGGCGGAGAAGAGGGCUCAUUUCAUCAGUGACGUGAGGAGGAGGUCCAUCGACACUUACCUCAGCAGAUCAAAUCAGCUGAUACGUCGGGAGGAACAGGCACGGGGGCAGGACCACGUUGACGGCGCAGACGCACACCGUGCCCAACUCCCGCAUGUCCCUCUAGGGGCAGAAGAAAGGCUAGGAGCAGGUCAUAGUGUCAUUGGUGGUGACUCCCUUGGGGAGCGAUUAUUGACAUUUUUCUCUGCCUCUUGUCCGUUGUCGUCUUAUGUUUUCUGGACUUUCUCGAAUGAACCACGUUUUUGGACUGAAGCAGAAAUGACGUAGAAAGGCAUCGCACACAGGACACAUGAGCCGAAGGUACCCCUGUGGCAGGACGUCCUGCGGAUAGGCCCCUGUCGCAGGCACACGCAGCGCUGCGGCUCAGACGUCUUUACUUUGCACAGAUGUCAUGAGAGACUGAGGAAGGCCCCAGAGACACUGGUGGCACCUGGCUCUCACCUGCCUCAAGUUCACCUUAUAAACUUGGGCAAACUCCUCACGAGGCCUGGGUCAGACCUGGCCAGACACCUCUUGGGCUACCGUCCCCUCCAUCUCUGUGUCCACUUUCUCUCCACAAGGGAUGUCUGGGACUGUCAAAGGCAGGGUGUUUGCAUGGGCCCAGAUCCUGAGCUGGGCAGUGUCAGCUGGGGACACAGUGACAACCUCUGCAAGCCCCCAGGAGAUGUGCAUAGUUUAGUGGCUAAUCCUGGGAGGAAAGAGGGACCAGGAGCCGGGGGUAAAGGGAAGACUCAAGCCAGGGCUACAGAGGUCGGCGGGUGUCCCAAGGUCAGUGCAGGUCAGACAGAGCCCCGUGCUUGUGGUCAGGAGGCUCAGCAGCAGUGCAAAGAGCAACAAUUUGGAGAGAACUGGCAAGGAAGGGAAGGUGCGGAUGGGUGGCUGGCCCUGCGUCCACGAGGAGCCCUGCCCAGCAAGCCAGCCUCCUGGGGCCUGGAGUCUCCUGAUCCUGAUGCUUGAGGACACGUCCUGCCUCCCCAGGGUCUGCACUGGUCGUAAAUAUGCUCCUGUGUGGCCAGGGGCCCAGGCGAGGCUGAUGCACGGCCCUGGACCCUGGGCUCUCCCCCUCCUCUCAGCGGGGCCGUGGAGCCUUCCGUUCCUGUGGCUUCCUCCUCUGAAAACGUUCCCCUACUCCACUGGGCCAGCCUGAGACAGACCCUGUGUCCCGCCUUCCCUCCUCCACCCAGCCUGGACUGGGCCCUCGCCCACCCCUCCCAGGCUGUACUCGCUGAACCAUCGCCAGCACGGGGCGGGCAGCCUCUGCGCUGGGCGCUGCUUCCUCCCCGGCUUUGGGAACUAGGCCGGCACCGAGGAGUCUUGUGCUGCAUUUUCCUGAAUGCACACCAGAGAUCAGGGAGCAAGAAAACCGACCCUCCCAACCAAUGUGGCCCUCAACCCCCUUGGGUGGGCCUCGGGGCCAGCCAGGUCCUGGGAGGUGCCUGCCCCUUGCCCCAGGAAUCGCCUCCUCGCUUCCCUGCCCUCCCCCCUGGUGCUUCCUGGCCCUGCAGAGACCAGGUCAUCUUCUCUCUCCUUUCUGUCCACAGAUGACCCCUUACGCCACCUCCCUGCUCCCCCCUUGGCCCCUGGGGCAUUCAGCUGGGCUCACCCACAGCGCCCGCCACCCCGACUGGCAGAGGAGUCUGUUGCCCUCCCACUGCAUUGGCUCUCAGUCCCCAGAUCGUGUCCCUCUGUCAAGCCAAGCCACUCAGCCAGGGUCCAUCCUCCUAGAAAGGCAGCCUGACACCUGGGUUCUCUGCUACUGCUGGCCUGUCUAGUGCGGGCACGACCUGGUCUCCUUGUGCCAUCGCUCCAGCCCUCUGGUCGCACCUGAGUGAGUCAGCAUCCUCUCCUCUUUGGCUUCUGCAUUAGGUGCGACACGCCCCCCCACAGGCCUUGCUGCUUCCAGAAGCUGCGACCUUCCCUCAGGGGCUGGGCGGCCUCCUGGGGACUGGACAGUGACCUCACAGCUGAUAUGGACGAGGGCGUGGUGAACUCGCUUGUUCUGCUGGUGGUACUGACCAGGUGGGCACCUCCUCCUGAAGAGACCCCUGCAAAGACAGUAGGCCGGGCACCGCUCAGAGGUGGUCACGCUGCGUGCAGGAGAGGAGCUGGCCUCCUCCGAGCCCACCCAGAAGGAGUCUGCAGUGCCUGGGAGUUCCCUUCCUCCCUCCUGCUCUACGUUCCACCAUUUUUUAAAAAGCAAAACCGCGUACUGUUUGCUCUGUGCGUACCGAGGCCCACUCGGGCCUUUACUAGGUCCCGUUUUACAAGUGAGAAAACUGAGACUCAGAGCUGUGACUUGUUCCAAGAUGCAGCCUUCCAGGAAGGACUGGCCAACGCUGUAGGGCAGAGGGGAGGGUCAGAGCCUCAGGGUGCUUGCCUGGGCCUUGUGGACAGGACCUCCCGUGAACACUUUCGACGCUGGCCCCUCCCUGUCACCUGGACUGGCUGCCUCACAGGAGAGCUGACGCCUGUCCAGGCGCCUUCCCCGCUAGCCCGGAGUCCAGCCUCGCCAGGAGCCAGGCUGAACGCAGAAGGAAAUCCACUUGGAGCAGCUGGGGCGGGGGGGGGGAGCCUGUGCUAAUUCCUCUUCAGACACCACUGAAGGGUCAGCGCGGGAGUGGCAGGCCGCAGGGAAAUCCUGUUAGCUCUUUGCUCAGCUCUCAGCAAGGGCAUGUGUCAGGGGCUCCAGACACAGCUGCUCGAGGGCUUCCUGGGGACAGCAGGCGUGAGGAUGAGCAGGGGGCAUUCUUGGAGGGCAGGCGGCAGACCCCAUGGGCAUGUGCUGCCCACACCAUACCGGGCAGUCCAAGGGAGGGGCUGCCAGGCCUGGGGGGCCCUGUGUGCCGGGAGGCGCGUGGGCAAGCACCUUCCUUCUGGGCCUGAGUCCCUGUGUGCAAAAUUGGAGGGGCCAGGGGCUGAGGCAGGGGCAUCCAGGCCUGCCUGGGACCCUCCUUUGUUUUGGAAAGUCCUCUGGGAAGGGAGGACCCAGCUGCUGAGCUAGCCUGGAGUUAAGUUGAGGGGGGUGCCUGCAGCAGCCCCCCAGCCAAGCCCUCCUCAGCCAAGCAGCCUGGGGGCUUCCCAGGAGGACCCCAGUGCAGUGGGCGGUGAAGAGAGCCGAUGCCCACCUUGGAGCCUGGUUUUCCUCUUGGUAAAAUGGAGCCAAUAUCACAUCGAUCCCUGGCACGAGGAACAAGGGACCAGCGCUCAGAGGACAGGGGUACCAAGCGUGGGCCCCUCGGGGUCAGAACUUCCUGCAGCUCCUGUUCCACUUCCCUAAUAAUUGGGCUCUUCCAGACGGGGGCCGCCCAGCCUUUAGAGUCUCCUCGCCAGACACCCAGAUCGUCCUGCACGGUGUCCUCCUGGGCCCACUGGGACAGCCUCUCUGUGGCCCCCGCAGGCCGGCCCUUCCAAUCUCCUGCAGACCGGACCCGACCUCCAGGCACUAAUGGAGCUCGGGAGCGCUGGGGGCAUCUUUGCACCACUGGCUCCUUUUCCUCUCUGGUCUCGUGGUUGGGUCCCUGGUCUGGCCUGGGCAGGACCUGGCCCCCAGGGCACCUGGGUGCCAGUACAAGUGGCCUGGGGUGGGGCCGUGCUGUGGCCUACCCCGUGCUGUCUGCUCCCCCUCUGUGGCCAUCCCUGGUGUUCGUGGGGUCCUAGGGUCUGGGGCACCAUCCCGGGCGACCUCGCCGUUCAGCCGUGUUGGCACGCGAUCACCGUGAACACAAGCCAAGCGGCGUCUGUGUCAGCUUUUAAAACCACCAGAAUGAGCUCACUUGUCGUGCUGUGGUCCAAAUAUUUUGGCCAUUUAGAUGCAACCUUC
Marmota monax (woodchuck) is the source of this 19620-nucleotide long non-coding RNA. RefSeq lists it as uncharacterized. The record is from RefSeq and is a predicted model, not a curated record. Lineage: Eukaryota; Metazoa; Chordata; Mammalia; Rodentia; Sciuridae. The transcript has 12 exons.